ACGGUCUUCAAAACGGGAGAAAUUGAUGUUCUAAGAUUUUGCCCGCGAACAUCAAAAUAUAUGUGUUGUAAAGGUUUUCACUUGAUGUCAGAGGUCACACACCAAGGUCAAAGGUCUUUCUUUAACGAUAAUCGUGAAAGCAGGCGAGACACGCAGUUCGAGAACCGACUUGUCAUUGUUGGUGAUCAGUUAGACAUUGCCUCGGGCAAUACUUUGGAUUCCCAGGUACAAAGCAGUUUGACCUUUACUUCUGGUCACACCGGAAGUGCAGUGAAAAUUGAAUAUAACUUGAAAAUGGAAGCAAUAUUUAAUACAGACAGACAAAUUAUGGAAGUGCUGCUAAGUGAGGAACGUCAAUCACAAAAAACAGCAUGAUGAUGUCAACACUCAAAAGGACGCCCUCUAGCGACACAACAAACAGUGUUAAACUUUUUUAAUUUAAAAAGCAUUUCUCACAAUUUUACCAAAUUUCCCCUGGAUAUUCUUUAAACAACCACAAAUGACUUAACAAGGUUUCAGAAUCAUGACGUCUUUAGAUCGGAGUGACUGUAAUUUGAAAAUGAAAUGAUUAUUUUUUUAAAAUUCAAAUCCAUCAUUCGACCCAUGUUUAAUGACUAUGUUCGUAGCACCAUUAAUGAUGUCCCGUACAACGUUGACCUUGCGCUUCCAAAUGCCGUGAUGUCAUCAAACUUGAAGUUAGGUGUCAUUAAUACAUUCAUUUAAACAUUCAUUAUAAUUUUCAUAUUUUUAGAAGUUUUUUCACUUCAUGGUGAACAUGUAUCCUCUCUGAACUAAAUCAGCAUUCAGUUUGCACAUUUUUACUGAUGACGUUAUGAAACCAGAAAUAACGUGUACAUGUACAUAAAGUGUAUAUUGAAAUCUAUCAUACUCCAACGAUAAAAGAUCAUACGAUAAAAGAUGCCCCUUUUUUUCCAAGUGAAACAAAUCGUUUUACUGGAAGGCUGAAUUUCGUGGUCCCUUUUCUGUUGUGACAUAAAACUAUUCACAACUGGGUUAUGUCCUAUGAAAUAGUUUUCAGCCCAAUCACCCAGCGUUUGUAACUCAACAAAGUUUUUCUGUACAUCUCUGUCAAUUUGAAAAGAAUGGGCUAUCGUCCCGCAACAUGCAUUCCAGAGUCCGUCGCUUCAUUGUUCAGAUGGUCAAUAGAGAGCUGACAGCAGCCCAAGCCUUAAAAACCGUAAAGGAUCUCCGCAGCACCGUUGAUGAACAUGAAUAACCACCGACUGUGCAUAACCACCGACGCUGAAACCAGAAGAGAUGAAAAAAUGUGAAUCUCAAUUGACGGAAGAAUGGAACUGCCCAGAGCACCAGCACAGCUGUCUCUAGUAGGUUUUAAUCUCGCAAUAGGGUGCAGUUUUUAUGGAGCCACUAAGCAGGAAAUGUUGGCUUAGGCCAAAAAAAAAA
This is a long non-coding RNA of Patiria miniata (bat star), 1425 nucleotides long. RefSeq lists it as uncharacterized. The transcript has 3 exons. The record is from RefSeq and is a predicted model, not a curated record. Lineage: Eukaryota; Metazoa; Echinodermata; Asteroidea; Valvatida; Asterinidae.